GUUGCAGAAGCAGUAUGAAAAGAAGCAUUCUGCAUCUAAGAUCCUCGAUCACCUACAAGAGUUGUAUGGUAAACAUAGCCGAAAUGCAAGAUAUGAGAUAUCUGAGUAAUUAUUUUGGAUGAGGAUGACUAAGGGACAGGAAGUGGGAGCCCAUGUUCAUAAGAUGAUCAGAUUGAUAAAGCAGUUGGAAGCUCUUGAUUUCACUAUGGACUUCCA
RNAcentral lists this unclassified non-coding RNA (216 nucleotides) under Hevea brasiliensis (rubber tree). Lineage: Eukaryota; Viridiplantae; Streptophyta; Magnoliopsida; Malpighiales; Euphorbiaceae. The record is from RNAcentral.